AGUGGAGGAAGCAAACCCUCCUGCCAACAGCCCCGGGUCUGAGCUUGAGCUUGGAGGUGGGCAGCCCAGCCUCAGACGACCGCGACCCCAGCCGACUGCUUGACCACAGCCUCAUGAGGAACCCUGGGCCAGAACCACCCGCUAAACCCCUCUCAGCUUCCUCAACCUCAGAAACCGGGCCCGCUAAUGCUCGGAGACAGGAAGAGGCAGACUCAGAGGCUCCGGUGGGAUGGGGCCACCUCUCCUCACCAGCAAGGAGGUAAAGAGCAGAAGCUCAAAGUCCUCAGCUCACAUUCCACCCGGAACGGUGAAAAGGUGUCGCUAAGACUAACAGGAUGCAUCAGUGCUUGUCUUUUCCAGAAACCAACCAGCCACAUAAGAAAUCUUUAAUUAACAAACAUAUUUAUAAGAGUGGAAAAAAUCAGAUCAGUGGGAAUGAAGCAACUGACCCGAGUUCUUCCCUGGCCGCCCGGGAGAAGAUGAUGGAGACAGCACGUAACAUUCUGUUCCUCUGCUUUGCUCAUCUCCAGGCUGUCGGGAUGAUGGAAAAAGUGCAUCUUACCCUGCCUGUCUCUCUCCGGUUCCUAGAAAUGCUGCCACAUGGGGAGGAAGGUGACUGCAGUCACAAGGGAUGUACAUUGGCUCUGAUCACAAUGGCUGCAGGACGGAGAAGCUGCUCCCCAGGACGCCUGGCUCCCACUCCUUGCAGACCUGGGUUCGAGUUCAGCCUCCUCAGUUGCAAACCUGGGGCCUUCCUAUUCGGAGUCUCUCUGCUGCCCAUUUGGCAAGCACUGAGUUAGUAAAAACAAACCCCCAGCAUUCUAAUGAGGAUUAAUGAGACUGUCAGCUCCAUGUGGACAGGUAGCUUGUGAAGGGCUGACAGAUUGCCACUUUCCUUGCCCUCCGUGAACAGUUGUUAGGGACGUGAAUGAACAAAUCACAUUAGCCCUGGGCCCACAAUAAAUUACACUGAUGUCAGUUUCUCCUUUCACUGCCAGGAAAAGUUU
RNAcentral lists this long non-coding RNA (1007 nucleotides) under Equus asinus (donkey). RNAcentral's name for it is "lncRNA (ENSEASG00005028695.1, ENSEASG00020004341.1)". Lineage: Eukaryota; Metazoa; Chordata; Mammalia; Perissodactyla; Equidae. The record is from RNAcentral.